Molecule: long non-coding RNA, 5136 nt
Organism: Carassius auratus (goldfish)
Lineage: Eukaryota; Metazoa; Chordata; Actinopteri; Cypriniformes; Cyprinidae
Exons: 5
Source: RefSeq, a predicted model, not a curated record
GACAGAUUUUUUUUUUCUUGCGGACAGACGCUAGAACUUGUAUGAUUUUAUCUGCCGAGGUUUCUCUCGCCAGUGAAAAAUAAAAACCGGAGUGGAUUUCAAAUAGGAACGAUUACAGAUCGUUUCUGACAGGUGAUAAAUCCGCUCCACGCAUACAUGUAGUUCCAGACCGACGUUUAGUCUGUGGGUUUCUUGGCGACUAUGAAAGCGUGUAACAUGGCGAAGAAGAAAUACACAAACUACCUGGACACUUCAUAGACGUACUGUUGCUAUCCCGUUCCACUCACCGCAUUCUUCAGGACGGGGUGUGUGACGUGUGUGAUGGAGAAGAGAAAUGGACCUGCAAGCCCCCUUAUGAGAGACAGAUGGCUGAUGGUGAUGCUGUCAGUAUCGGUUCUGUUUGCUCCAAGCCAAGUCAGAGUGAAAACCCCGUUACGCUAGAGAGAGGAAAGGAAAUGUUCAAGAUUCUGGACGAGGGACAGAGCGGAUGGAGAAGGGGAAAGGCAGGAUGGAUACAAAGGGAGAGAGAGGGAGCGUCCCUCCUGCUGUACCCACCUGCCCCCCUACAUAUGCCGGGAAAAUGAGAAUAGAUUGGCCCAUCCGUGGAUGAUGCCAGGUGGCAUUUAGACCCCCGAGAAGAUACGAGUGCAGUCUAUCUACCUCACAGUGACAGACGUUGGGCCUGGAGAGAGAGGAAAAGAAAAAAGGAAGCAAGUCGGAAAGGAUGAAAACGGAGGAGGGGGAAAGCAGAAAAACCCUAGUAGGUCCAAACAAAUGUGUUGUCCUGCUGAAGGCACGCUUGUUUUCUUGUCAUUAUCCCAAGCUGCUGUGGCACAGCGAACCAGAUGUACAUGUGGGAGUACGCAAACGGGCUAGUGACAAUAAGAAUGCCCUUUUUUGCAUUGCCAUGUAAUCUUAGCCUUUUCCUUGUUUUGAAACCAUAUUUGAGUUGGAUUUGAAAUCCUGUUAAAUGGAUUAGUGAACACUUAUACAUUCUGGAAAUUAAAAAUCAGGGAGCACAGAUGUGAUUUUGCAACACACAUGCCUAAAGGUAUAAUGUUCAUUAUCACAAAACAAUUGUUUCAACUUGUACAUCACUUGCUUUAUUAAGAAUUUUGGGUUGAAUUAAGAAUAUUUCAGGUUAGGUUAGGUUAGGUACAUGGUAUAAUGUUGGUUUUAUUUGAGCUGCAAAACUAUUUAGUUCAUAAUUUUUACAGUGAUUUUAGGGCAUUACCUUGUCGGGGAAUUGCAGAUACAAUUACAAUUGUAUAUACUGUAUCUUUACAAAUACUAAGCAAUUUGUCAUACUAAAAUAGCAUUAUAUGAACACACAUUUUGUUCAUAUCUUGUGAAUAUACUUUUGAAAGAGCAAAUAGUUUAAUGCAUUCACGUCUGAAAGAAAAGGAAAUGAAUUUUUGUGGUAAUCAACAUCAUGCCACAAUGGCUGUCACUUGUAACUUGUACUGUACCCGGAACGUUCCUUGAGUUUUGAUGCUUUGUCAACAGGACAGCAUUGGAAGUCAUGCUACAUUCUGAGCAAGUCAGCUCUUGCAAUGUGUGUUGCAAAAGAAUAUUAAUCAUGCAGGGAGGAUGGUGAAAGAGUGUCAUGUCAUUGUUUCCAUUGUUGGGAAAUACCUGUUUUUCAUGUUCUGCAAUCCGUUUUCCUCAUUCAGAGCAAAAGCCAUGACUUCCUGCCAUCUGGGUAAGCAGUUUUUAUUGUUUUCGAGCAUGAAAACAAGAACUCUAAUUAUAGCAUUGUGAUUAUACUACAGUAUGCCAAUGACCAUGAUACCCCUGGCACAGGAGUGGAACGGUUUCUACAGGCCCAGAAUGACCCCUUAGUGGCUAAUGUUAUAUGAUGAGGCUUUUUCAGGGUGAUUAAUGAAAAGGAUGGGGAGGACAAGAGAUGGAGAGAUAGAAGGUGAAGGAAUGGGGGAAGGGUGAUGGUGACAAAUCGUUUGGGGGUUCUUCAAAACAACACUGGCAGAUAGAUGGUGGCAGUGUGUGUCUUUCAUUAUCAGUGACCCGCUGUUCAAUCAACGCCAGAGAAAGACGGCCACAGUCCAGAGAACUGGGCUACAGGACAAAGUAUCAUCCCAUCAUCACUCAAGUCCCCCUCUCUUAACACAUACGCACACACACACAUAUAUCUUCUCAAACACUCGCCUCUACCCCUCAAACGACCCCACACACAUUGAUGAGAUGUGAGGGUUCUGACCCCAGACUGGAUGUGCCCUCUUGCCCCUCAGGACCCAAAGAAAGGGCGCCAUCCAUGCAGGUGCCAUGGUAACACUGUCGUGGCAGGUCGAGUCUCAUGAACGAUGAUGCUGGUGAUGUCAUUAACCCGGUGGGAGGAGCAUCCCACCAGUUUUCCCAUAAUCACCAGCUGCCUCUUUCCAUUAGCAUUGAAAAUAAUUCCUAUUGCUUUAAUUCCUACCGUAUUUAAAAAAAUAUAUAUGUAUCAAGCCCCUUACAGCAUAUGUAGCAAUAUUUCAAUUUAUUUCAAAUUAUAUUAAACAGACUUAAAAUAUCAAGUGAAUUCUCAUAUAACUUUAAAAAAUGAAGUUGAAAUUGGUUAAAUUAAUUUGAUGAGUUAAAGUGAUGGAAAACCUUGUUACUAAUUGAUCAUAUCAUUUUUUAUUUUUUUGCAGGGGGCUGCAAGAUGGAUUAUAUGUAUGAUAAAUAUGUAUUUUAAUUCAAUAGAAAACUAUAGUAGUAAUAAUAAUAAGAUAUUUUGUCUAUUAUUAUUAUUAUUAUUAUAUAGCUUUUUGAAGACUAUGCUUGCAAAAAAACUUUUCAUUAUUAUCCUUACAACUAUUCUACUGACAAAUUUCUUUUUUAAGGUGAAUACAUGUAACAUUACUCUUACAGUGGGUAGAGAAAUUACACUGUCAGCUUAAUACAAAAUAAAUAUUCUCCAAAUAAUAUGUUAAUAUGGAUACAGUGUUUGCUUUGGCUACAGAACAGUGACAACAUAAAAGCCAACUAUUUAAUAAGGAUCCUUAUAUCAUGCUUAACAUUUAUCCCAGAGACAAGAUAAAUAGGUAUAUAAUUACUCACUCUCUCACUCUCUCUCUCUCAGUCUCUCUCUCUCUCUCUGUGUCUGGUUGUGUGUGUGUAUACCCUGUAUAUGUCCUGGCCCCAAAAAGCUUGAAUACCCCUGUUUUAAUAAACCAAGAUGAGGAUGAGACAAAUGUUGAUGGAGGAAGGGUAGCAGGCCAGAGACCUUCUCAGAUGUCAUCACCAGCCUCAAUCGGGCACAUUAACGCUGAUAGGACAGUUGAUUCAUAGUCAGAUUUUUCUAGGGAACUUUUCGCUUGGCUAAACAUAAAUUCAUAUGGGGGGCUUAUAUUAGCAGUGUACAAUAAGUGGAACAAGGGCCAAAUAGUGGAAAUGGUUUGAGGCAGAAAACACACACAAACAGGCAUAGGAGAAGGAGAAUAUUUGUGGGCUAGCGCUGACUAGAUAUGGUGAUAGAUUAAGCACUGUGCCACCCUUUGAAGCAGGUAUCAUCAUUCAGAGUGGCAGCCGAUCGGUGAGCACUAUAGGACUACCUGCUGAGGAUCCUGCAGUAAUACAGCUGCUCCACAUAAUCAUAAUCUUCACUACACCGCUAAAACAGCCAAAGAAAAGAAUAAAAUACAUGGAGAAUAGCAGAAAGAGUUUGUCAGACAAAAUGGAACGUCCAGAGAAUUAGGUAUGACAUUUAACAAACACCAAAAUUGUACAGAUUUGGCAUAAAGCAAAUGCAAGAGGAAGAAAUGUACGAGGAGAAAGAUGGAGCUCUGAUCCUCUCAAUCUCGUAGCGAAGCCGUGGAACAGAUGCUAGCAGAAGCAUUAACAAAAGAGCGGAGCUUCUGACCGCGAGCCCCUGCGCUUGGCAAGUCCUAGAGGUAAUAAUGGUUAGCAACCUGAAAAAUGUUCUUAUCUGAAAAAAGCCCCAGACAGUAAUAAAUGAAAUAAUUGUACUAAACACAUUAAUCCAUGUCGGCGGCCCCAGGGGGAGGGUCUGUGAGUGUUAGAGGUAGUGAAUGGCACUAACCUGCCAACAAAAAGAGUCUCUCUCUCUCUCGUUCUCUCUCCCUCUCCUUCUCAACCCUCUGCAAACAGUGUAUUUUUUGCCCUGCCUUUCGGGAGGCAGGGGUCGUUAUUAAUCUUGCUGGCUUGCUUAGCUUCAGGCAUCACAGCAGGGCAGCAUCUGGGAGUGUGUGCACGAGUGUGUGUGUGUGAUGAGAGUGUCUGAGCCAGGAUAUGGAUAAUGCAUGGGCAAAGACUGUGUAUGUGUUUAUGUGUGUGUGUGUGUGUGUGCAUGUACUAGUCUGACUCAGAAUGAGGAAGACCAAGCAUCUUAAGUCAUGUGUAUCUCUUAAUCGGUGUGUUUAAAUGUAAAUUACACCAGUGUGUUACGCUGUGCAAGUCACAGGAUCAUGCAUGUGAGUGAAAAAGAAUACAAUUCAGGACAUUUGACUAUGAUGAAUCGCAAAACCAUCCCAUAUUGCUUGUAUACUUGCAUAGGACAGUGGGCAAACUGAGAAAGAGAAUGCAUCGAUGCUAUGAGUACUUGAUAUAAUCAAGUGUUCUGCAUCUGCAUGCAGCAAGGUCCAUUUCCACUGUGCGGACAUGAUGUAAAGCCUGUUACCAAGUAAAAACUGGUGAGAAAAGAACACGAUCAACACAGUAACCAUUGCAGGACUGUGGACCUUAAGUCAUGCAUCCCACAAGCAAUGUAUAUUCUCAUUUUACUGGAAUCUUAAGUGGACACUAUAAUGGACAGGCAUGUCGGUAAAACCUAAGGCCUUGUUUGCAUCUCUUAGAAAUACAAUUCAUCCUCUUGUACCACCGGAAAAAAAUAAUUCAAAUAUAUCCAUGUAUGUUUUGUUUUUUUAAUGAAUUGAAAUGUGAAAUUAAAUUUUUCUUGUUUGUUGCUUUUGGACAGUGCCAUCAUCCAAUGUUUUUGCUCUGUAUUUGUUAGUCACAUGGCAAAUUCAGAUGAUUUAUGUAAAAAAAAAAAAAAAUCUUAUUUUUUGCCAUAAGAAUUGCAUGCUUACAGUGUCCUGCACCAGUCGAGCAAGUGCCAUUGAGAUGCACGGGAAUAUUAAAUUAUAGGUUUUCCACUGAAAGUCUAAGUCUAAACUA